This is a long non-coding RNA of Neopsephotus bourkii (Bourke's parrot), 2328 nucleotides long. RefSeq lists it as uncharacterized. The record is from RefSeq and is a predicted model, not a curated record. The transcript is spliced from 3 exons. NCBI's taxonomy places the organism in Eukaryota, Metazoa, Chordata, Aves, Psittaciformes, Psittacidae.
UGUUUAUUUUAAUAACAAGGCAAGCUGGGUUUAUGCUGCUCCAACUUGUGUUUGUUGCCUAACCUGCUCAGGUUCCUUUCUCUCAUACCUGCAUGUGUGCAGACUUUGCCUACUGUUAAUUCCAGUGUUAUAGGCUUUGUAAAAGACACAAUGCAGAAGUUAUGAGAGGAUUCUCUGAGUAAGAGAUCUGAAGCUACUUUUGUAAGGCUGCUUUCAGAAGAGUCCUUCCUCCUUAGCAUAUGCAUCAUCUGACUGCCAGGGAAGGCAUGGAGUGAGGCCAGAGCAUACAGUCCUUUGGGUAAUUCUGGAUAAGAGCUUUGCUCUUUCGCCUACAUGAAUUUUCUGUAAUUUAUGCCAUCCCAGAUCUUCUAAAUUACCUCUAAAGCAGCUCCAUCCUCUUUGGUAUUGAUUCUCAUUAAAAAGCAGGAAACAUGAGCCAUUGUGACUGAAUACUAAUUUUUCUCACCAGUGAAAACCUCAGCUAUAGAACUUUCAUGUUCUAUACAUAAACCACUCAAAGUGACCACAGCUUUUGGGUUUUUUACAGUUUAAGCAUGGCAUGGCAGCUGGAGGAAAUAUUAAGCCAGCCGAUUCAUGCAAGGACAUCCAGGGUUUACACAGGGCAUGGAUCUUCAGCACUGUUGAUGGUGUUUCAACUUUAAACAUGACCACAACAAGAAAUUUCAGCUCCAGAAGCAGAGAUUCAUAUUAUGUCAUGACAGAAAUGCUGCCUACCUGCGUCACCAAACAAACACUGCUAGUGACCAAUGAUCUCUGAAGAAGAUGGAUUAGUAAUUUUCUUCUUCUCACUCUGGAAUUUAAACUGAUACAUUUUUUCAUGCAAGGAAUUCAGCUAGAGAUUGCAACCGUACAGAAAAAAUAAAUCUUAGUAUGCCAGAUGCCCUGGUAGCAGAGAGCCUUUGAAACCUUCUCCUGUUUCUUCGACACCUGAUGGCAAUUGUUCGACUGGAGAUUUACAGCUGACCUGAGACUCAAACAGCUGAAGUUAUGGAAGCUUGAAAUGGUGCUGGAUUCACUGGAGUGACAGUGUUACCAUCAUCCAAUGGCUGCUGAUCAGUGAAAUGCGAUGGUAAUUUCUGCAUUCCAGUGGUCAAAUGUUCCUACCAUCAAAACCACCAACACAUCCCAAAGAAAAAGCUAUUUAGAGGCCUUAUCUUCUGGCCACAUUUGCAUACAUUUCAGCUCUAACCACAUCAGUCACAUUACUAGCUUUAACAGAAUAUCUCUGGUGAUAGUUUAUUCCAGGUUACAAAAGCUUGGAAGAGAUAAUUAACAAGGCCUUCAUGCUGUGAGUUAUUAUGUGUGUGAUAAAAGUUCCCUGAUGCAAUAGCAGUUAAAAAGGAAAACUUAUUCCAGGGAUAAAGCUAGUUCAACACCUGAAAAAUAUUUUCAAACUGUAAAAUACUCUCUCAGUAGUGAUUUCUUCUCUCAUUUGUCUUGUAAUUAGUAUUAUCCCCAGUGUCCCUAUUCAGAUGUGAAUAUGUACUGAUAGUAAUUCCCACAUCUGUAAGAUCAGGCUUUAUGUGGAAAGGGGAAAAUCCUUUGGCAGGAAAUGUCUUUUUUUUUUUUUUUCCUUAAACAAAAGAGGAUGGCAGUACUAUACUUUCAAAACCAAUCCCUGGCAAAGAUGGAGUAUAAUUUCUUUUGUGAAACACUAAUAUGUAAUAAGCUAGGAAAAAAGAGAUUAAGGAUGUUUUUUAAGAAUGUAUAUUGUGGCUUGAAUUAUCUUCUUGAAAUUAUUAAAAUACUCUUAAAAGUAAUUUAGUCUGGAUUAUUUUAACAGAACAACAUUAUCUAACAGUAACAGACUAUCAGGAUCUUGCUCAUAGCGUAGUAAAUCAUGCAGAGGCAUAUUCAGGUGUGUAUACAGUUAUACAUUUACCAAACAUUUAUAAUUUCAUACUAUUCUUUUAUAUUUACAUUUCUAACACAGCGCAAUAUCCAGUUUACAGGAAUCCUACUAAGACUACUGAGAAAGAACCUCUGCUUAGGAAAAUACCUAAAAGGACAUUACCUAAAACUAGCUUGGCAACCUACUUUUCAGGCUGAAAAGAACAUGUUGCAAACAUGAGUCGAAAGACCACACAGUUCUCUUUAAAACCAAGAGGAGUUAUUUAGAUACUAAGUUGUGUAAAUCUUGUAAAUAAACAAACUGAAAUUUCAUUGGUAUCCUUUAUUUGUAUAAUACGACCUUUUACGCAGGUGGGUUGCUAUUUACCUUCCUAACUUACUAUCAGUCACAUAUUAUAAAGACAGUCUUGCCACCCUCACACCCUUGGCCUGUGUGUUUCCAAGCAAAAGGUGCUA